This 161-nucleotide ribosomal RNA is filed under the name uncultured bacterium. RNAcentral describes it as "partial 16S ribosomal RNA". It matches the Rfam family "Bacterial small subunit ribosomal RNA", at positions 1340 to 1500 of the family's 1533-position model. The record is from RNAcentral.
AAUGGCAGGUCAGCAUACUGCCGUGAAUACGUUCCCGGGCCCUUGUACACACCGCCCGUCACACCAUGAGAGUUGGGAAUACCCGAAGCCUGUGAGCUAACUUUUAGAGGCAGCAGUCGAAGGUAGAAUCAAUGAUUGGGGUGAAGUCGUAACAAGGUAGC